Neoarius graeffei (lesser salmon catfish) is the source of this 2297-nucleotide long non-coding RNA. RefSeq lists it as uncharacterized. NCBI's taxonomy places the organism in Eukaryota, Metazoa, Chordata, Actinopteri, Siluriformes, Ariidae. The record is from RefSeq and is a predicted model, not a curated record. The transcript is spliced from 2 exons.
UUUUACUGUAGGGCAGAAUGCUAAUGAGGCUGCACUCUGAUCAAAGGAGCUUGUGCAAUUACCCCAACUUCCACCCAAGGAGGCCUGAGAACACCACAAAUAUCUGUGUGUGCGCGUGUGUGUGUGUGUGUGUGUGUGUGUGUGGUGUUCCCAGUAUACUGUUCUAGACCUCCAGCAGUGACGGCAGAGACCACGGAACUGACUAGAUUAGGCCUCCAGACACACCCUCAGACAAAACAGACCUUGCUUCAGGAUCUUCACACAAUGAGGCUUCAGAAAGCCCAGCCUGGAGAAAUGUACCUAUUAAAGACUCUCAGAUGUCUCUGUUUGUGUGUGUGUGUGUGUGUGUGUGUGUGUGUGUGUGUGUGUGUGUAGGGAUAUGUUUGUGAUGCAUGUAUCCAUGCAGAGAAAGGGUGACAAGCUUUUACUGGAGGAAAUUGUGGAUAAUGUUCUGUCCAAUUAGUUUUACAUAAUGCAGGAUCACAAAGGAGAAACCAUCACCCUACUAAUUCUAUUACAGAGAGUGCAUGUGUAAUUUCAGUGUAAUAAGAAUGUGGUUAUGUUAUUACCAAGCAAAAAGGCUUAGAGAUUAAAGCGUGCUCUCAAUCUGCAUCCAGAGAGAGAGAGAAAAAAACGAGAGAAAACCGUGAAGGUGUGAGGGACCUUACCUGCCUCUGCACUUCAGCUAGGUGAUAAGGCAGAGCACCUUCUUCCAGAGGAGCUAUUCUCUCAAUAUCAGCCAGGUUCAGCCACCUACACACACCACAGCACAGAGAGACAAUGUGCAUACAUGUAUGUGAGACAGGCCAUAAAGACAGAAAGAGCAGUAAAGACAGACGUGCACAGAAGAAGAGAGAGAAAAGCAGAAAGAUAACAGAAGACUGUGAAGUGAAAGAGAGACACACAGCAGGAAGAGUUAGAAUGAGAUGCCAGGAAAGCUUCACUUCACUGAAGCCAGAACACCAAACACGCUGUAUCCCUCCCAGCAGCAUGAAGUCACAUUUUCCAUAAGCUUUUUUACAGUGCCGUAACACCAAGUUACUGCGUGCUUAUAUACACAGGCAGGUAAACAAAGCUGGACAUGAGCCUGCAACACACACAGAUACACACACACACACACACACACACACACACACAGAGUGAGACUCCUUCAGACAGCCAAAGGGACACACGCAGUGCUCUCCACUACACGCCACAGGCAUUCUUAUGGCUCCCUCAUGCUCUCUUUCCCAAUAAAUCAACUGGCUGGAGCCACUGUUGUUACAGAAAACAGGCAAUAACACUAAAUUUACAAGCUAUAAACCAUGCUGUAAUGUUUUAAUGGCAUUUAUAGAUUCAUUCAACAGGGGCUGUUUUGGACAAAUGUGUUCGAUAGGCAAGAACAUGAGGUCGAACUAUAAUGCCAGUGCUCAUGUUAAAAAUCAUAUCAACUGCACAGGUUGCGUUCAGGGUAAAUAAAGUCUAUCUGCAAUAUAAAAGAUCUGAGAGACAAAAUGAACCAAAAUCUCUUUUCGUAUAAUGAUUAAGCCUAAAAGCACAACACGGGGAUAUGAUUAGUGUUAAAAAGAAAAAGAAAAAAAAGGUUUUGGUAAAAUUAUAAAUAAAUGUAGCUAUAUUAAUAAAAGAAACUAUGCUUUGGAUUUAUGACAGAUUAAUGAAGCUUUGUGCAGAGAAAGAUGGAGCUUAAAUAGUGUUUACCCUGAGUGAGUGUGGAGGCCAGAGAGUUGGUACAGGAUGUCUAUCUCCAAUGGUGUGAUCUGACCAAAUUUAUUGGCGGCAUUAACAAAUUCCUCUGAGGAAAGAGUCACGGAGAGUCAUGUAAAUGACACUAAUACUACCACUGCUAUCGUUAGUACUGGUACUACUAAUAAUACUAGUCAAAACAAUAAGGUUGAUAUAAUAAUUAUUACUACAACAAUUUCAGAAUACAAACAGCCACAAAAAACACCCUUUGAGGUAGGAAGCGCAAAUGUUUUGAGGACAUAACAGAAUAACCUGCUGCCCGUGUCUAUACUGUAGUGGUGGAGAAGCUGUGCUUGGUAAGAGCAAAUCCAUAUAAAAAUUGAAAUGUCAGAUACAAGAAUGUGUAAUGAAUGAGCUAUGCAGAUCUUGCAAUAUGACAAGGGGAGAACAUCAUCAUCAAUCAGGCACAUUCUAAUUACUGUGUCUACAGAAAUAACUGGAUGAGUAUACUGUCCUUCUGCCAUUUUGGAUUUUAUUUCUGUUUCAAAUGAGACUGAAACCUGGCUGUACUGUAUUUACCAUUAAAAUAAUACAACACGAUUUAGCAAUGUAAA